RNAcentral lists this ribosomal RNA (301 nucleotides) under uncultured bacterium. Its description in RNAcentral is "partial 16S ribosomal RNA". It matches the Rfam family "Bacterial small subunit ribosomal RNA", at positions 509 to 809 of the family's 1533-position model. The record is from RNAcentral.
CAGUAGCCGCGGGAAUACGGAGGGUGCAAGCGUUAUCCGGAUUCACUGGGUUUAAAGGGUGCGUAGGCGGAUCUGUAAGUCAGUGGUGAAAUCUCCAGGCUUAACCUGGAAACUGCCGUUGAUACUAUAGGUCUUGAAUUUUGUGGAGGUUAGCGGAAUAUGUCAUGUAGCGGUGAAAUGCAUAGAUAUGACAUAGAACACCAAUUGCGAAGGCAGCUGGCUACACAACUAUUGACGCUGAGGCACGAAAGCGUGGGGAUCAAACAGGAUUAGAUACCUGCGUAGUCCCUGUCUCUUAUAA